Molecule: ribosomal RNA, 714 nt
Filed under: Alteromonas sp. W223
Lineage: Bacteria; Pseudomonadati; Pseudomonadota; Gammaproteobacteria; Alteromonadales; Alteromonadaceae
Description: bacterial SSU rRNA
Rfam family: Bacterial small subunit ribosomal RNA
Source: RNAcentral
UCGAACGGUAACAUUUCUAGCUUGCUAGAAGAUGACGAGUGGCGGACGGGUGAGUAAUGCUUGGGAACUUGCCUUUGCGAGGGGGAUAACAGUUGGAAACGACUGCUAAUACCGCAUAAUGUCUUCGGACCAAACGGGGCUUAGGCUCCGGCGCAAAGAGAGGCCCAAGUGAGAUUAGCUAGUUGGUAAGGUAACGGCUUACCAAGGCGACGAUCUCUAGCUGUUCUGAGAGGAAGAUCAGCCACACUGGGACUGAGACACGGCCCAGACUCCUACGGGAGGCAGCAGUGGGGAAUAUUGCACAAUGGGGGAAACCCUGAUGCAGCCAUGCCGCGUGUGUGAAGAAGGCCUUCGGGUUGUAAAGCACUUUCAGUUGUGAGGAAAAGUUAGUAGUUAAUACCUGCUAGCCGUGACGUUAACAACAGAAGAAGCACCGGCUAACUCCGUGCCAGCAGCCGCGGUAAUACGGAGGGUGCGAGCGUUAAUCGGAAUUACUGGGCGUAAAGCGCACGCAGGCGGUUUGUUAAGCUAGAUGUGAAAGCCCCGGGCUCAACCUGGGAUGGUCAUUUAGAACUGGCAGACUAGAGUCUUGGAGAGGGGAGUGGAAUUCCAGGUGUAGCGGUGAAAUGCGUAGAUAUCUGGAGGAACAUCAGUGGCGAAGGCGACUCCCUGGCCAAAGACUGACGCUCAUGUGCGAAAGUGUGGGUAGCGAAC